AAACAGCCCCCUAUGUUUUGAUUCUUUGGCAGUUUUGGACCCCCAAGGCAAAAAAAAAUAAAAAAUUGACACGUGGCACCUUACUUAGGGUGCCACGUCAGCGUUGACCGAGUCAACAAUGGACUGGGGGUCCAAAACUGCCAAAGAAUCAAAACAUAGGGGACUGUUU
Medicago truncatula (barrel medic) is the source of this 169-nucleotide microRNA precursor. It matches the Rfam family "MIR2619 microRNA precursor family". NCBI's taxonomy places the organism in Eukaryota, Viridiplantae, Streptophyta, Magnoliopsida, Fabales, Fabaceae. The record is from Rfam.